GACGAACGCUGGCGGCGUGCUUAACACAUGCAAGUCGAACGGAAAGGCCCUGCUUUUGUGGGGUGCUCGAGUGGCGAACGGGUGAGUAACACGUGAGUAACCUGCCCUUGACUUUGGGAUAACUUCAGGAAACUGGGGCUAAUACCGGAUAGGAGCUCCUGCUGCAUGGUGGGGGUUGGAAAGUUUCGGCGGUUGGGGAUGGAUUCGCGGCUUAUCAGCUUGUUGGUGGGGUAGUGGCUUACCAAGGCUUUGACGGGUAGCCGGCCUGAGAGGGUGACCGGCGACAUUGGGACUGAGAUACGGCCCAGACUCCUACGGGAGGCAGCAGUGGGGAAUAUUGCACAAUGGGCGGAAGCCUGAUGCAGCAACGCCGCGUGCGGGAUGACGGCCUUCGGGUUGUAAACCGCUUUCGCAUGUGACGAAGCGUGAGUGACGGUAAUGGGUAAAGAAGCACCGGCUAACUACGUG
RNAcentral lists this ribosomal RNA (468 nucleotides) under uncultured bacterium. RNAcentral's name for it is "partial 16S ribosomal RNA". It matches the Rfam family "Bacterial small subunit ribosomal RNA", at positions 28 to 507 of the family's 1533-position model. The record is from RNAcentral.